UACGUAGGGGGCAAGCGUUGUCCGGAAUCAUUGGGCGUAAAGCGCGCGUAGGCGGCCUCAUAAGUCCGUUGUGAAAGUCAAAGGCUCAACCUUUGAAAGCCGAUGGAUACUGUGAGGCUAGAGUUCGGAAGAGGCGAGUGGAAUUCCUGGUGUAGCGGUGAAAUGCGCAGAUAUCAGGAAGAACACCCGUGGCGAAGGCGGCUCUCUGGGACGGUACUGACGCUGAGACGCGAAAGCGUGGGGAGCGAACAGG
This 253-nucleotide ribosomal RNA is filed under the name uncultured bacterium. RNAcentral's name for it is "partial 16S ribosomal RNA". It matches the Rfam family "Bacterial small subunit ribosomal RNA", at positions 524 to 776 of the family's 1533-position model. The record is from RNAcentral.